This 484-nucleotide ribosomal RNA is filed under the name uncultured bacterium. RNAcentral describes it as "partial 16S ribosomal RNA". It matches the Rfam family "Bacterial small subunit ribosomal RNA", at positions 30 to 507 of the family's 1533-position model. The record is from RNAcentral.
AUUGAACGCUGGCGGCAGGCCUAACACAUGCAAGUCGAGCGGAUGAAGGGAGCUUGCUCCUGGAUUCAGCGGCGGACGGGUGAGUAAUGCCUAGGAAUCUGCCUGGUAGUGGGGGAUAACGUCCGGAAACGGGCGCUAAUACCGCAUACAUCCUGAGGGAGAAAGUGGGGGAUCUUCGGACCUCACGCUAUCAGAUGAGCCUAGGUCGGAUUAGCUAGUUGGUGGGGUAAAGGCCUACCAAGGCGACGAUCCGCAACUGGUCUGAGAGGAUGAUCAGUCACACUGGAACUGAGACACGGUCCAGACUCCUACGGGAGGCAGCAGUGGGGAAUAUUGGACAAUGGGCGAAAGCCUGAUCCAGCCAUGCCGCGUGUGUGAAGAAGGUCUUCGGAUUGUAAAGCACUUUAAGUUGGGAGGAAGGGCAGUAAGUUAAUACCUUGCUGUUUUGACGUUACCAACAGAAUAAGCACCGGCUAACUUCGUG